RNAcentral lists this long non-coding RNA (596 nucleotides) under Brachypodium distachyon (stiff brome). RNAcentral describes it as "long non-coding RNA (BDIS_LNC003010)". Lineage: Eukaryota; Viridiplantae; Streptophyta; Magnoliopsida; Poales; Poaceae. The record is from RNAcentral.
GCGGUUGUUUUCGUGUUCGACUGUUAAGUAACAGUUUCACCAUAUUGUAACAUCCCAAAAUUUCAAAUCUUUUCAUAUGCAUUGCGUCCAUGAGCAUCAUGCCACAAUUGCACAUUUGAAUUGAAAUUUGAAUCUCGAAAGGCUUUGAAAAGAUUUUAUUUCAAUUUAAACCCUAGGGUUUACACCCAUUUGAGCUUUGGAUUUUCAAACCAAUAGGUUUAUUUAUAAAAGGGGUUUAUUGCAUAUAUGAGCUAUCCCAUAAUUUUUAAGAUUUUAUUUGGAGUUGAAAAAGUUAUUUUACUUAAAUAGUUAUAUAGCCCUCAAGGAAUUUAUAGGGCAAAUGUAUUUUUAGAUAUUUUAUUUUGAAGGAAAAUGACUCCCAAAAGUUGAAUCAUGAUAAAACAUGAUUUUACAAAUUUUCUGGAAUUUAUUUGGACCAAUUUGGAGUUCAGAAUCAAAAGAUAUCAAAGAAUUGAGAAAAGGAGAAAAAGAAAAGGCUAAAAGAAAAAAAAGAGAGAAAACCGGACCGGCCUGGCUAAAUGGGCCGAACCAGCCCAGUUCCGCGUGCCCGGACCGGACUGAGCCGGCCCCGCACC